Coccinella septempunctata (seven-spotted ladybird) is the source of this 3299-nucleotide RNA transcript. RefSeq lists it as uncharacterized. The transcript has 3 exons. Lineage: Eukaryota; Metazoa; Arthropoda; Insecta; Coleoptera; Coccinellidae. The record is from RefSeq and is a predicted model, not a curated record.
CAACAUUUCAAUAUCGCCGUUCUAACGUGCAAAGGCACAUACUGUGGUCGUUCCCUUAUCAAUUCAAGGAAACAGGUGGAUUAAUGCCAACAUGAAUUUUAUCAUUUCAAAUUCUUCCAGAUCAUUGUACUGUGUUGUUAUUGUGCCGUGUUCUUUUUGUGAAUAGCCUACACAAUGGCUAAAAAGUUACUGACUAUGGAGGACAUAUUGAGUGAGGAAUGCCUAUGUGGCGUUUGUAAGGGAUAUUUGUCGAUACCCCCGAUUGUUUAUUCGAUAAAACUCGGUGUAUACGUUUGUGGGCGUUGUUACGAUGAAGAAAUGUACAGUACCGACAUCGUUAUACGACAGGAUGAGUACGAGAAAACAGCAUCCACCUUCUUAUUCCCCUGCUCUAAUGACGACUGCGACCAGAGGGUGGGAUUUGGGGAACACGCGAAAUUUCACGAGAAAAUCUGCAUAUUCGACCAGAUAAAAUGCCCGAUAUCGAAUUUUUUCCGGGGUUUCCUGAAACCGAAGGAAAUCCCUUGCUUCUUCCGCUGCAGGGAGGAGUCGCAGAUGAUAGAGCACAUCAGGAUCAACCACUCUGACUACAUCUUACCAGCGCCCCAAAUGAUCCGGUCCUCCGAUGUCCUGAUGGACUCCGCGAAUCGUCGAAUGUACAUCACGAUUUUCAUCAACGAAUAUCAGUAUAAAAUGGCGGUUUUGACGAGGGAGAAGACCUCGAGAAGGAUGAUACUCAAAUGUAGAACAAUCAUGGACGAACAUCAGUAUUGCAUGGUGGGUAUACAGCCUCCGAUAAACGAUGCGAUACAAUGUUUCUCCUGCGUUCCAUUGGACAGACCACGAUACGAAAGAGAUGAUGAUGACGAGAUUUACUCAAUAAAAUUUUCACACUUCAAGAAGGAGACAACUUUGAGUUUCAAAAUAGAAGAGACAGAAAUUUCGUUGAUGGGGGAAGAUCAGGAAAUCCUGAUGGAUGCUAUUAGAAGUUUGGCACGUUAUUGAACGAUAUUUACAGAAGAUGACGAAUAAUUUUCUACAAUUUUCAAAUCAAUAGAUUAUACAAACAGGAUCAACCUUGGUGCUGCUAAAAGGAAAUUCAAUCUGACAUCGGAGGCUAAAUAUCCAAUAAAAACGAAGGAAGAAUUUGUGGAAUUCAACAAUCGCAAAUCAAUCAUGACUGGAAAUAAAUUUAUUUAUUAAUAAAAUCAAAUUUAUUGGUUAUAAUAAAUUUGUUACUCAAAAUAAAAUUUAUUUCAUAGAAUAAAUGAAAAAUUUGAAUUAUUUCAGUUCCAUUUUGUAUUCCUCAACUCAUCGAAAUUCUCGAUCAGAUUAAUUUCAAGUUCCUUGAAUCAAAAUUCAGUAACUAAUCGUAAAUGAGCGAUACGAAGUCUUGAUCAAAAGGUAUUACAUUAUAAGAGAAUAACAAAAUUAUCUCAAAAAAUUCUGGUAUACAGGAACUAUUUGCCCGACGAGGCUCAAAUUCUGCCAGAACCUUCAAACCUCGAAUUUAGGACAAAGUCCAGCUUUCAAAUUGAUCGGAUUCAUGGAAAUUUUGGGAUUUUUUUCCUAGAUGAUAGUCGAGCAAUGUUGGGCGGGUUCACUACCUGGAUGGACAACCGCCCUUGUAUGAAUUUCAAUAAGCGCUGACUUCACCGUCGAUGCUUUUCUCUUUUCAUUUGAAAAUAUAUCUGGAUAUAUUCGUGAUUUCACAAGAAUCGAUCGAGUUUAUUAUCGACAAAAUUUAUUAUUGAAAGCAAAUUUUGAAGAAAAUCAUGAGAAUAUACUGAGAACACGAAUCGGCAUUACGCCUGUGUAUAAAACUAACAACCAUCUGUGUGAAGUUUGUAGCGUUUUUUUUAAACUAAAUUUCUCGAUAAUUACCAUACGUUCAGAUAAUUUCGUCCAGUUCUCCAACGAUCCUGCAGAAGACCUGUUGAAGCUCCCAUCAGAAUCAGUGAAAUUUCAAAUACGCAGACAUGUUAUCUUGGACCGUAUCAACAACUGAAUCGAAUAAGUCUGAAAAUACCGAUUUGAAGUGUGGCUUGUGCAAAAAAGAUUUGUGUGUACCACCAGUACAAUGUUGUGAUUCGAAGAGGUUCAUGUGCGGAGUUUGUUACGAUUCCCGCUUGUAUUACCCGGACGCACAACGGGAAAAAUUGGACAAGGUGAUACCCCAAAAAUUAUACGACUUAUACGUCGAAUCUCAGUUUUUCCCUUGUGGCUAUAAUAAUUGUUCGCAACUCACAAAUUUCGGACAAGCGUGCUUCGAACACAUGAAAUAUUGUCCACACCGAAGUUUUUCAUGUCCAGUGUCAGAUAUCAAUAAAUAUUACGCACCACUAGAUUACAACAGGUGUGAUUUUGAAAGCACAGACACAGUGGAGCUGUAUUCGCAUAUUGAAAAAUCGCAUCCGGACCUGAUCGUGAAGAAUAAAAUCAAUUCGAAGGAAUUUUGGAGACGUCCCCAUGGUCUUUUCGUUCUGGAAGACAAAGCGGGCGUCAUCUCCGUCAUCUACAUAGACAAAGUAAUACCGAAUUCUUUGCGGAUUUCUUGCAGGCAAAUCAGAUCCCGCGUAUCCGAUAAAUGCGUGAUCGAAGUGAACAUGGGUAGGAAAAAAGAGAAAUACGUUAUCAAUUGUAGCGAAUAUCUUGGAGCUCUCAAGAAAAAAGGGCAAAAAUUGUUGAAAUAUGUCACGGUGGAUGACAACCCGAUUUAUUUCUCAAUUGUGCCUGAAAAGGAAGAUGUCACGAAUGUAACUAGCGACACUGAAGACUAUUUGCCCCCAUUAGGAAACAAUGAAAUGGAGAAUCGCGAGGUGAACGAGGACUGGAUGGUUCUCAGGGAUGAUGAAUUAGAAGAAGUUUAAAAGGCAUACCUAACAAGUCAGAAUUAUCAACCCCUCAAAGCCCCUGCAGAAAAUAUUCAAGUAUAGCACCAGAGUAAGAAGUAUGCCAAAUUGUUUCAAUAUUUAUCUUAGUUUGUCAAUUUAUUGGGAGAUUUUAUGUGUUCAUCAUUGUCAUUUACAUUUAUCUUAUAAGUAUUACAUUUUCUCGAUUUUGAUUCCUAUUCUUUAGACUGUAGAUUAAAUUUUAUCAACUCAUUUUUGUUUGUUCAGAAGCAAAAAUUAAUAGUUUAAUCCAGAAUGUUAGCUCAUAUUCCUAUCAAGCAAGGAAUAAGUAGUGAAUUACUAAUCAAAAAAGUCCGAAUACUUCUGAUAUAAACCUUUAUGUUUCAUAUAAUAUUUACUUGUACCUUUUGUUAACAUUAUUUACUGGAUAAACGUUUGAAGUCAAAA